This 253-nucleotide ribosomal RNA is filed under the name uncultured bacterium. RNAcentral describes it as "partial 16S ribosomal RNA". It matches the Rfam family "Bacterial small subunit ribosomal RNA", at positions 524 to 776 of the family's 1533-position model. The record is from RNAcentral.
UACGGGGGGGGCAAGCGUUGUUCGGAAUUACUGGGCGUAAAGGGUUUGUAGGUGGCCUGCUAAGUCAGACGUGAAAUCCCUCAGCUUAACUGGGGAACUGCGUCUGAGACUGGUGGGCUCGAGGACAGGAGAGGAACGCGGAAUUCCAGGUGUAGCGGUGAAAUGCGUAGAUAUUCGGAAGAACACCAGUGGCGAAGGCGGCUCACUGGCCCGGUACUGACGCUGAGGUGCGAAAGCGUGGGGAGCAAACAGG